RNAcentral lists this unclassified non-coding RNA (424 nucleotides) under coccoid cyanobacterium CMT-2BRIN-NPC43B. RNAcentral describes it as "16S-23S ribosomal RNA intergenic spacer". Lineage: Bacteria; Bacillati; Cyanobacteriota. The record is from RNAcentral.
UACAGGGAGACCAACUUCAUCGAGACCGAACUCAUUGUUAUUAAGUCCGAUAGAAGUCCAUCCCAGGUUGAGCGAGUUUGGAAAUGGCGGCUUUCAAACUAUAUUCGGUUCGAUUUGUGGUGAUCGCAGAAUCCGUCAAGUCUGGUUCGGUUCUGCACCCUCGGCAAACCUACGGGUUUGUUAGAGUAGUAGAGCGUGAUCACAGAGCAUUGCUCCUCACGCAAUAAACUGAAAGCUUUAAAUUGAAAUUGGAUAAUUUUUUCAGCAUUAGGCAGAUUAAAAGCCUAAAUGCUGGAUAGCAUCCAGUCAGGACCUUGAAAACUGCAUAGUAAUUUGUCAAAUGUAAUGAGAGUGCAUGAGUCUAUCAGUUGAAGAACUGGUAGUUGAAUGCAUCAAUUGCAGGUAGACACCAAUGUUUAAUUGU